Molecule: ribosomal RNA, 279 nt
Filed under: uncultured bacterium
Lineage: Bacteria
Description: partial 16S ribosomal RNA
Rfam family: Bacterial small subunit ribosomal RNA
Source: RNAcentral
UGCCAGCAGCCGCGGUAAUACAGAGGGUGCAAGCGUUAAUCGGAAUUACUGGGCGUAAAGAGUACGUAGGCGGACAUUCAAGUCAGAUGUGAAAGCCCCGAGCUUAACUUGGGAAUUGCAUUUGAGACUGAAUGACUAGAGUUUGAUAGAGGAGUGUGGAAUUCCUAGUGUAGCAGUGAAAUGCGUAGAUAUUAGGAGGAACAUCAGUGGCGAAGGCGGCACUCUGGAUCAAUACUGACGCUGAGGUACGAAAGCGUGGGGAGCAAACAGGAUUAGAUA